AGUCCCGCAGUUGUAGAAAUAUCAGAUUGCAAAUCUGAAGGAGCAGGUAAAUAACCUGCCGGGACUU
Molecule: transfer RNA, 67 nt
Filed under: Benthalbella linguidens (longfin pearleye)
Lineage: Eukaryota; Metazoa; Chordata; Actinopteri; Aulopiformes; Scopelarchidae
Description: tRNA-Cys
Rfam family: tRNA
About the family: Transfer RNA (tRNA) molecules are approximately 80 nucleotides in length. Their secondary structure includes four short double-helical elements and three loops (D, anti-codon, and T loops). Further hydrogen bonds mediate the characteristic L-shaped molecular structure. tRNAs have two regions of fundamental functional importance: the anti-codon, which is responsible for specific mRNA codon recognition, and the 3' end, to which the tRNAs corresponding amino acid is attached (by aminoacyl-tRNA synthetases). tRNAs cope with the degeneracy of the genetic code in two manners: having more than one tRNA (with a specific anti-codon) for a particular amino acid; and 'wobble' base-pairing, i.e. permitting non-standard base-pairing at the 3rd anti-codon position.
Source: RNAcentral